AUUGAACGCUGGCGGCAGGCUUAACACAUGCAAGUCGAGCGAGCGGCGGACGGGUGAGUAAUGUCUGAGAAACUGCCUGAUGGAGGGGGAUAACUACUGGCAACGGUAGCUACUACUGCAUACCACCAGAUGUGUCCCGAUGGGAUUAGCUAGUCGGUGGGGUAAUGGGGCACCUAGGCGACGAUGCCUAGCUGGUCUGAGGGGAUGACCAGCCACAGUGGCACUGAGCUACGGUCCAGACUCCUACGGGAGGCAGCAGUGGGGAAUAUUGGGCAAUGGGCGCAAGCCUGAUGCAGCCAUGCCGCGUGUGUGAAGAGGGCCUUCGGGUUGUAAAGCACUUUCAUCAAGGAGGCGUUACUCGCAGAAGAAGCACCGGCUAACUCCGUGCCAGCAGCCGCGGUAAUAC
Molecule: ribosomal RNA, 406 nt
Filed under: uncultured bacterium
Lineage: Bacteria
Description: partial 16S ribosomal RNA
Rfam family: Bacterial small subunit ribosomal RNA
Source: RNAcentral